GGAUGUGAUCAUACCAGCACUAAUACACCGGAUCCCAUCAGAACUCCGCAGUUAAGCGUGCUUGGGCGAGAGUAGUACUAAGAUGGAUGACCUCCCGGGAAGUCCUCGUGUCUCAUCCC
Molecule: ribosomal RNA, 119 nt
Organism: Arabidopsis thaliana (thale cress)
Lineage: Eukaryota; Viridiplantae; Streptophyta; Magnoliopsida; Brassicales; Brassicaceae
Source: Rfam